UAGUCCGGAUAUACUGGGUGUAAAGGGCGUGUAGCCGGGAGGGCAAGUCAGAUGUGAAAUCCACGGGCUCAACUCGUGAACUGCAUUUGAAACUACUCUUCUUGAGUAUCGGAGAGGCAAUCGGAAUUCCUAGUGUAGCGGUGAAAUGCGUAGAUAUUAGGAGGAACACCAGUGGCGAAGGCGGAUUGCUGGACGACAACUGACGGUGAGGCGCGAAAGCGUGGGGAGCAAACAGGAUUAGAUACCCUGGUAGUCCACGCUGUAAACGAUGAAUACUAGGUGUGCGGGGACUGACCCCCUGCGAGCCGCAGCUAACGCAAUAAGUAUUCCACCUGGGGAGUACGAUCGCAAGGUUGAAACUCAAAGGAAUUGAC
Molecule: ribosomal RNA, 374 nt
Filed under: uncultured bacterium
Lineage: Bacteria
Description: bacterial SSU rRNA
Rfam family: Bacterial small subunit ribosomal RNA
Source: RNAcentral